Molecule: microRNA precursor, 106 nt
Filed under: Picea abies (Norway spruce)
Lineage: Eukaryota; Viridiplantae; Streptophyta; Pinopsida; Pinales; Pinaceae
Source: RNAcentral
CGAGCCGUCUUGAGAUAUUGGAGCGGUUCAACCAGACAACAUUAUUAAAAAGAAUGUAAUUUUGUUGUUCGUUUGAGCCGUGCCAAUAUCGCACUAGACUUGCUUG